RNAcentral lists this ribosomal RNA (477 nucleotides) under uncultured bacterium. Its description in RNAcentral is "partial 16S ribosomal RNA". It matches the Rfam family "Bacterial small subunit ribosomal RNA", at positions 29 to 523 of the family's 1533-position model. The record is from RNAcentral.
AACGAACGCUGGCGGCAUGCCUAAUACAUGCAAGUCGAACGACCGGAGCAAUCCGGGAGUGGCGAACGGGUGAGUAACACGUGGGAACCUGCCCAGCGGUGGGGAACAACCGAGGGAAACUUCGGCUAAUACCGCAUACGCCCUUACGGGGAAAGGUUUAUCGCCGUUGGAGGGGCCCGCGUCCGAUUGACUAGUUGGUGAGGUAACGGCUCACCAAGGCGACGAUCGGUAACUGGUCUGAGAGGAUGAUCCGCCACAGUGGGACUGAGACACGGCCCAGACUCCUACGGGAGGCAGCAGUGGGGAAUAUUGGACAAUGGGGGGAACCCUGAUCCAGCCAUGCCGCGUGUGUGAAGAAGGCCUUAUGGUUGUAAAGCACUUUAAGCGAGGAGGAGGCUACUUUAGUUAAUACCUGGAGAUAGUGGACGUUACUCGCAGAAUAAGCACCGGCUAACUCUGUGCCAGCCGCCGCAGUAA